RNAcentral lists this ribosomal RNA (417 nucleotides) under uncultured bacterium. RNAcentral describes it as "bacterial SSU rRNA". It matches the Rfam family "Bacterial small subunit ribosomal RNA", at positions 356 to 771 of the family's 1533-position model. The record is from RNAcentral.
AGGGAAUAUUGGUCAACGGGUGAGAGCCUGAACCAGCCAUGCCGCGUGCAGGAAGCCGGCCGUCUGGGUUGUAAACUGCUUUUUACUGGGGAUAAAACGCCCUUGCGAGGGAGAUUGAAGGUACCGGUAGAAUAAGCCACGGCUAACUACGUGCCAGCAGCCGCGGUAAUACGUAGGUGGCAAGCGUUGUCCGGAUUCAUUGGGUUUAAAGGGUGCGUAGGCGGCUAAUUAAGUCAGUGCUGAAAUAUCACAGCUUAACUGUGAGGGUGGCAUUGAUACUGGAUAGCUUGAGUACAGACGAGGUAGGCGGAAUUGACGGUGUAGCGGUGAAAUGCAUAGAUAUCGUCAAGAACACCGAUAGUGUAGACAGCUUACUAGACUGUAACUGACGCUGAGGCACGAAAGUGUGGGGAUCAA